Non-coding RNA from Pelobates cultripes (western spadefoot toad), 4941 nucleotides. The record is from the annotation of a GenBank genome assembly. NCBI's taxonomy places the organism in Eukaryota, Metazoa, Chordata, Amphibia, Anura, Pelobatidae.
GGGGACUUUUUUGUUUGCCUUUUUGCAUAUUCUUCUCUACUCCCUGUAUUACUGUGAAAAUCAAGAAUUAGGGCAGAUGUUGAUACAAUAUGAAGUAACUGUAUAACCUUAAACUAAUGCAGUCCUCCGAAAUUUACAGUAGACCAGGAAAAUAUCCACUGGUUCCAUGUUUUAUUUCAAAAAUCUUAUUAUAACAUCAUUCGUGCCAUUAUCUCAGUAACACGAGACAGAGAACCUGAUAUAAAAAAAACGAACAAAAAAACACUUGAUGCAGGAUUAUGCAUUAUCUCGCUCACUAUGUUUUGUGGAAAAACACAUUAUUUUCAUAGUGUUGUACAUGUCAAACAUAAUUGGCAUUGCAAUCAUGGUCAGUGACCAGAAAAUGCAAAGAUGAGAAUGAGCGAACGUCAGACACAAGUCUGGUACUGAAAUAAUAACAAUUAGCUAGUUACAUAACAGUUACAUGGAAAUCCACAUUUCUGUAAAAUGUGCUCUUUUACGUUAGAAUAACUUAUAUGAAGUUUGUACGCUUAUUUUAAACAUCACUGUUUAAAAAAAAUUUAUAUUUUCAAAAUAAUUAUAAAAAUGAUAUACAAAAAUAAGUACAAUUAGGGAAAUGUACUCUGAAAAGAAUAGGAGUAGAAACUGCAAAGUCAUUGAAAUGUCAUCCAUGUUGACAUGUCAUAACGGUGUCAUCAAGUGACACAACAUGACAAGUUCAUGUUCAGCAUUUACGACAUCUAGUACAAUAUACCUAUUAGUUAUACCACACACAUCCAGUUUACCAUUAAGGAGAAGGUCGCUGGGUGGCCAUACACACAGGAAAACUUAUAGAAGAUUCUGAAUUUUAAUAUCCCAUGUGCUGGAAAAUAUGUAAUGAAAAUGGAAAAUCAUACACGUCUCUCUGAGAAAAAGUAAAUAGAAAUAUUUUUUAGUAAUAUGUCUGACCUCCUGCUCCUAAAUCAAAGAGGACAAAGUAAUAUAUUAUAUACAACUUAUAGAAGGUGCCAAAAAUAUACCAAUUUAUACUAAAACAAAAAUACCCUUUCCUGCAGCAUAUUUGUUCUUCAGGGGUAACUCCAGUUUUAAUACAGAUAUAUGUAAAUUUCCGAUAAGAAAAAUGAACUCUAAAAGCAAGCGAACACACUCCGUAGGGUAAUAAUCUGAGCACCUAGAACAACAGUGGACAUUCAUAUCUGCACUCACAUGUAUAGAUGAUAAUGUGCUUUGAUGUGCUUUGAUGGAGGCACCAUGUUUGAGUGGAUAGUUAUGUGCAUGUGUGAGAGUGCUCUGCUUUUUAUUUUUGUUUUUCAGGGUCUGGGAGUGAACCAAUGAUGUAACGUCAAUGAGAAAAAAUGUGGAGCUUGAAUUAAUUAAGGGGUGGGGUGUAUGUGUAUCCAGGAGCAGGAUCUCGGUGGAGGAACCAUCCAGUUUUUCUUUGGGUUCCAACCCCAGUUGGAUGUGCAAUCUAGCAGUGCUACUGAGUACCAUAGUGUGCCUGGCACUGUAAUGGCUCUCUGCUUUUUUUUUUUUUUUUUUUUUACAUAGCAUCAAUUAACUCUUUGAACAUCCCAAACACAUCUUGCCAAUAUUUAUGGUUACUAAUGUAUUCAUGCAGAUUGCAUCGAUCAAACAUGGCUGUUCUUUGUAAAUAUAUAAACGUUUCAUCCCAUUUCUUACUUGAGAAUCGAGGAAGAUGCUAAAGGAUUAUUAUAAGGUGGUAUCUGUGAAUGCUUUGUGUCGACAUGGUUAAUGAAGUAUAUGUCAAAGUGAAUGCAUACAUGGCAGUAUCAAAUGCAGCCCAAUUUUUCUGUGCAAUUUGAUACAUUUAUUAAUUUAUCUAUUUAUAAAAUACUUUUACCUGUGUUGUAAAGUACAACUAAAGUACGAGGCAAAUAAUAGCACUUUUAAUUAUUUCCCCUGAAAAGCAAACAAAGAUUUUACACCCAGAGAUCGACUCUACAUCAGGAGGACCGAAAUAUCUCAUCAACUAAUAUAUACUGAAACAUUUUUGUCUGUUAUGGUUACAUGAUUAUACAUGUAUUGUAUGAAAAAAUAUCAAGAAAUCCGUGCCUGGAACAUCACAAACAGCUCUCAAUUUAAACCAGCUGUUAUCAGUUGAUGGAGAUCACACGACCAUCUAUACCUUAUAUCUACAAUAUUUACAGCACUCCCACUGGGUCUUUGUGUGAAAAAUGCAUCCAAGAAAAAAUAUUUAGCAUAAAAGAUCCAUUUGAUUGUUUCAAUGCAGAGAUAUGUUGUCUCAAAGCAUUCAAGCAGAGAGAGUUAUAUACCACAUUAGUUUAUCAUGAGCCAAACAAGGAGGACAUCUUCCAUUUGGCACCAGUCUGUAUGAGGUUCGGAGACUUUUGAGAAAAGAGGGCAACCUUGGACAUUUAGGAAUAACAUUUGUCAAGACUGGUAUUUUUACAAGGGGCUUGAAUGGAGCAUUUUGAACAUGCAACAUUUUUUUUUAUACUCACUUACAUAUUUGUUUAUUGUAAGCAAUUCUAUAUCAGACACUAUACAUGGUACAUACAUACCCUACAUUCAGAAUACGGGAUAUUUUUCAAUUAUGCCCUUUUUCCUGAAAUAAUUAAUUUUCUUCCACAAAGCUGUAAAUGGAUCUGUUGGCUCAAACAGUUAUCUUUCUUCAGUUUUAAAACACAUUUUUGUUAUUUAAGACUUGUGUAUGACUUCUAUUUUACAAUACUAGCGACAGGACCGGGUUAAGAGGCUAUUGGAGGUGGUGCCGGAGAGAAACUCAUAAUGCAUUUAUAAGAAUAAACUUACUCUGUGCUAAUCUCUUGCUUUCAUUUCUCAACCAAAUCCAUACACCUCAACAUUGACAUUCUGUGAAGCGGGAUAUCGGUGUGCGGGGUAAAAGAAGUUGGGUUAGUGAUGCAAAUCACUGCCCAAAGGAGCAGACCGGAAAGGGGCAGGUCAACCUGAAGCAUUGGAAGGUCAGUCUGGUGUAACUGCAAGCCAGACUGCCUUCCAAUCACACAGGGUGGCCUACGAAGGAUGGACAAGGCAGACUGCGCUGUUUCACCACUCUGAACUUGGCAUGAAUGCGUCUGAGGCCCUCACUCUACGAUUUCGGGGGCAGUUCGCAGGUGUCCCUGAGCACUCAAUUGUCCACUUCUUUCCUUCCCUUCAUGCUAGCAGGCAGAAGCUCCCAGAAUGCAGACUAAGAUAGAGAAAAAGGUGGAUGUAGUGAGUGUAGAAUUAAGGGGGACAUGGCACAUUGAUAGAGAGUUUGAAACAGACAGUGAUAGACAGUGUGCAAAGUCAGCUUUACCCUAACUAGUUUAUGGUCAGCCAGUCCACAAACGUUUUUGUUUUGUUGUUUUAAUCAAUGGGCCUAAUUCAGGGGUGCCAAGGCAUUAGCUCCCCAGAUGUAAAACUACAGCUUCCAUGAUGCCUUGUCAUUCAAAAAGCAUGCAAACACAUGGAAAGCAUCAUGGGAAUUGUGGUUCUACAGCACCUGGGGAUCUACCUUUUGGGCAACCCUUGCAUAAUUCAGGGGCAUGGGCCUGGACUUUCAGCUCCAUUAGCCCCUAUGUUAAUACAGCUCUGACUAGUGAUCUUUUUAUCAAUGUAUAUAUUAUUUUUUACUUUGUUAUCUACUUUGUUUUGAUAUGUUUUUCGAUGUGUCCAGCAUUUUUAAAUAAAAUAUAUUACAUCAUUUCAACCUAUCCUGUCCACACAUAAUGUGUACCACUAUCAUCAGUAAAAAGUACAUGUCGGCCUGGUAGUGACACCAAUAUUUUUUUAUGAACUAUAAAGAUAAAUAAAAUGCAAAAGAAAGUGUAAAAUUUCAAAUAAAAUAUACUUUAGAAGUCUCACAACUGCUACAAAUCAACAGGUAUACAACAACAACAGUGGUGAGAUCUGGCCAGACCACAAAGACGCUCUUAAAGUCAACCACAGUCCCUCAGAUAUUUAUGGGAUAUGUAGUUCAGCCUCCAGUAACAAUUCUGUUCACCAGAUCAUAUGAGCAAAAUUGCUGAAUAAGAUGAUUGCCAUAAACAUAAUGCUAUCAUUUUAUUGACAGAUGUGUUCACAAUUCUAUGAAUGGAAUUGGACAUAGCAUUUGAUCUAGCCACCAAUCACUAAUUAGUCAAGCUUUCUUAAACCUGGUGAAAGGAGGUAGAAAUGUCAGCAGCAUGCAUAGUGUGCGUAUGCCGUAAAAUAAGUACAACAUCCUCCUCUGCAUAUAGCUAUGAGUUUUGCAGAUUGAAGCAGUUGCAAGCAAGUGCGUGCAAGGUGAAAGGAACGUGGCACCUACUUGCACCAUAACCUAUGCAAUGAGUAAAUGUUGUUAUGGUACAUGAUGUGUCCCUUUAAAUUAACAUUUUCCUUUUCCUUUCAGUGUAGAAUGCUGAAAGCAUUAUGUCAUCAUAUACUAUGAGACUAAACCUAGUAUAAUCCUUGUUAUAUCAAAAUAAUAUUGGUCUGUUGGAAAAUGAUAUAUAAAGAAAACGAGACAGAGACAUUUCAAGUGUGGUUUGUUUUGUUUAGUUUUUUUGUAGGUUAUACCUUGAAUUAUCUGCACUUUACACAGUUGUAUUUAAUUGCUGUUUGUCAAAAAUGUUUGUACUCAAUAAAAAAAAUAGAACAGUACACACUAUACAAAUCGGCUCACAAUGUUAAUUAAUCAAUUGCAUGUUAAUUACAAAAAUCUGUAAAUUCGGUAGGAAUAUUUUUUAGACACAAGUUAUAAUUGGUAAGUACACCAUGGAUUGUACCCAAUUUUUAUAUGCAAAACAAAAAUCAUUAAUAAUGUUAUCUGUUAUUUGUACAGUGCCAAUAUAUUCCCCAGUGCUCUACAAAUGUAUACUAAUUAUAUGAAACUUUUUAAGAUUUUUAUAUUGGGUUUUAUGCAUCUGAACGCACUCGGUUUAAGACAUUAUUUCUAUCAAAAUUUCUUAAAAGCAC